GCCGACGUAGCUCAGCCGGUAGAGCAACGGUUUCGUAAACCGUAGGUCACGGGUUCGAACCCCGUCGUCGGCU
RNAcentral lists this transfer RNA (73 nucleotides) under Verrucomicrobiota bacterium. RNAcentral's name for it is "Verrucomicrobia bacterium tRNA-Thr". It matches the Rfam family "tRNA". Rfam says of the family: Transfer RNA (tRNA) molecules are approximately 80 nucleotides in length. Lineage: Bacteria; Pseudomonadati; Verrucomicrobiota. RNAcentral also lists the same sequence under 2 other names. The record is from RNAcentral.